Molecule: ribosomal RNA, 373 nt
Filed under: uncultured bacterium
Lineage: Bacteria
Description: bacterial SSU rRNA
Rfam family: Bacterial small subunit ribosomal RNA
Source: RNAcentral
GGAGGGGGCGAGCGUUAUUCGGAAUUAUUGGGCGUAAAGGGCGCGUAGGCGGCCCGGUAAGUCAAAGGUGAAAUCCCUCGGCUCAACUGAGGAACUGCCUUUGAAACUGUCGGGCUUGAGGCCGGGAGGGGGUAGCGGAAUUCCCAGUGUAGCGGUGAAAUGCGUAGAUAUUGGGAGGAACACCGGUGGCGAAGGCGGCUACCUGGACCGGUUCUGACGCUGAUGCGCGAAAGCGUGGGUAGCAAACAGGAUUAGAUACCCUGGUAGUCCACGCUGUAAACGAUGGGUGCUCGGUGUCGCGGGUAUCGACCCCUGCGGUGCCUUAGCUAACGCGUUAAGCACCCCGCCUGGGGAGUACGGUCGCAAGGCUGAA